This 328-nucleotide unclassified non-coding RNA is filed under the name soil metagenome. Its description in RNAcentral is "partial contains 5.8S ribosomal RNA, internal transcribed spacer 2, and large subunit ribosomal RNA". The stretch from base 1 to 120 matches the Rfam family "5.8S ribosomal RNA", at positions 35 to 154 of the family's 154-position model. The record is from RNAcentral.
GAUGAAGAACGUAGUAAAAUGCGAUAAGUAAUGUGAAUUGCAGAAUUCAGUGAAUCAUCGAAUCUUUGAACGCACAUUGCGCCCCUUGGUAUUCCGAGGGGCAUGCCUGUUCGAGCGUCAUUAUAACCCUCAAGCUCAGCUUGGUGUUGGGGCCUGCUGCACUGGCAGCCCUUAAAAUCAGUGGCGGCGCCAUCUGGCUCUAAGCGUAGUAAUUCUUCUCGCUAUGGAGUCCUGGUGGAUGCUUGCCAUCAACCCCCAAUUUUUCUAUGGUUGACCUCGGAUCAGGUAGGGAUACCCGCUGAACUUAAGCAUAUCAAUAAGCGGAGGA